AGGCGUGCUAUUUCAGGUCCUGUAAAAAAUCAUUAAAACUGAUUCGUGAUACCAGUACCCAGACAUUUGGAAGUAACAAAGCAAGAUGGUUCAAUUACCCGAGCCACAUGGAAAUUGAACUUAUCAUGUCAACAAAAUUAUGGUGGAUGGGAGGCUAUCUUUGUGCAUCAAGAUGGAGAAGCUUUUUUAAGCGUUGGGGAGGACUUGACAAUAUUCACGGUGCACUCCAGGUUGAGGCGAUGGCACAAGGAAGGAGAUUAGCAUCGGAAUUAACAUGGGGACCUAUGCCUAAUGCGACAUUCUUGGGAGAUGCACGAUGUCCUUCAGAAGAUCCUCUUUACAACAGCCAAGAUGGAGAGG
Long non-coding RNA from Lolium rigidum, 360 nucleotides. RefSeq lists it as uncharacterized. Lineage: Eukaryota; Viridiplantae; Streptophyta; Magnoliopsida; Poales; Poaceae. The record is from RefSeq and is a predicted model, not a curated record. The transcript has 3 exons.